Molecule: ribosomal RNA, 253 nt
Filed under: uncultured bacterium
Lineage: Bacteria
Description: partial 16S ribosomal RNA
Rfam family: Bacterial small subunit ribosomal RNA
Source: RNAcentral
UACGGAGGGUGCAAGCGUUAUCCGGAUUCACUGGGUUUAAAGGGUGCGUAGGUGGAUUGGUAAGUCAGUGGUGAAAUCUCCGGGCUUAACUCGGAAACUGCCAUUGAUACUAUCAGUCUUGAAUACCGUGGAGGCCAGUAGAAUAUGUCAUGUAGCGGUGAAAUUCGUAGAUAUCGAGAGGAACACCUGUGGCGAAGGCGGCCAACUGGACGAGUACUGACGCUGAGACACGAAAGCGUGGGGAGCAAACAGG